GGGGUUGUGGCUCAGUGGUAGAGCACUUGCCUAGCCUGUGAGAGGCACUCCAUUCAAUUCUCAGUGCCG
Molecule: transfer RNA, 69 nt
Filed under: Marmota monax (woodchuck)
Lineage: Eukaryota; Metazoa; Chordata; Mammalia; Rodentia; Sciuridae
Description: tRNA.Ala
Source: RNAcentral